CCAGAUCCCAUAUGGUCAGAGUGCUGGCUUCUCCUCCGACAAUCAGAGUCCGACCAUCAGGAAGCAGCUUACAGGAACGGAUGUAGUUAUCCCUGUUCUAAAAAGAGAGAUGGACGCAUGAGGAAAAAAGAUACAGAGCCAGGUUUUUCCAACUCUCAACAAUCAGGCUAAAGAGGUUAAUCGAGUGGGAACGGCGGCCGAUAAGAGGGCUCAGAAUGGUAAUUUGUGAAGACUGAUUAGACAACAUCUUUACCAGACAAUCGAGCUGCGAGACAGGGCUCUUGCUCCCGGGCUGACUGAUGUCCCAGAUCUUCACGCAGCCCUUUCCUCCAGUGUAGACGUGCCGCGUAGGGUUGC
Molecule: non-coding RNA, 357 nt
Organism: Misgurnus anguillicaudatus (oriental weatherfish)
Lineage: Eukaryota; Metazoa; Chordata; Actinopteri; Cypriniformes; Cobitidae
Source: RefSeq, a predicted model, not a curated record